UGAAUACGAGAUGCUACGGCGUCGAAGCAGUGUAUGUCAGACUUCCAAGAAAAGCUCGCAAUGUCAUAAAUAAAGAAUGCCUGUACCAUAACCGACACAGGUGGGUAGGUAGAGUAUACUAAGGGGCGCGAGUUAACUCUCUCUAAGGAACUCGGCAAAAUAACUCCGUAACUUCGGGAGAAGGAGUGCCUUCUUGAAGAAGGUUGCAAUAACAAGAUCCAAGCAACUGUUUAUCAAAAACACAGGUCUCCGCUAAGUCGAAAGACGAUGUAUGGGGGCUGACGCCUGCCCAGUGCCAGAAGGUUAAAGAAGCUGGUUAGCAAUAGCGAAGCUGGUGACUGAAGCCCUGGUGAACGGCGGCCGUAACUAUAACGGUCCUAAGGUAGCGAAAUUCCUUGUCGGGUAAGUUCCGACCCGCACGAAAGGCGUAAUGAUUUGGAUACUGUCUCGGAGAGGGACUCGGUGAAAUAGACUUGUCUGUGAAGAUGCGGACUACCUGCACCAGGACAGAAAGACCCUAUGAAGCUUUACUGUAACUUGAAAUUGAAAUUGGACUUUAUUUGCGCAGUAUAGGUGGAAGGCGUUGAGAUUACUCUUGCGGGAUUAGUGGAGCCAUCAGUGAGAUACCACUCCUAUAAUGUUAGAUUUCUAACUUUGGAUCAUAAUCUGGUCAAAGAACAGUUUCAGGGGCAGUUUGACUGGGGCUCGCCUCCCAAAUGGUAACGGAGGCGUACAAAGGUUUCCUCUGAACGGGUAGAAGUCGUAUCUAGAGUGUAAAGGCAUAAGGAAGCUUGACUGUGAGACCUACAAGUCGAGCAGGGACGAAAGUCGGUCUUAGUGAUAUGACGGUGCUGAGUGGAAAGGCCGUCACUCAACGGAUAAAAGUUACUCUAAGGAUAACAGGCUGAUCUCCCCCAAGAGUUCACAUCGACGGGGAGGUUUGGCACCUCGAUGUCGGCUCAUCGCAUCCUGGGGCGGUAGUACGUCCCAAGGGUUGGGCUGUUCGCCCAUGAAAGCGGUACGCGAGCUGGGUUCAGAACGUCGUGAGACAGUUCGGUCCAUAUCCGGUGUAGGCGUUAGAAUAUUGAGAGGAGCCUUCUUUAGUACGAGAGGACCGAGAAGGACAUACCUCUGGUGUACCAGUUAUCGUGCCAACGGUAAACGCUGGGUAGCUAUGUAUGGAGAGGAUAACCGCUGAAAGCAUCUAAGUGGGAAGCCCACCUCAAGAUGAGUAUUCUCAUC
RNAcentral lists this ribosomal RNA (1242 nucleotides) under metagenome. RNAcentral's name for it is "bacterial LSU rRNA". It matches the Rfam family "Bacterial large subunit ribosomal RNA", at positions 1564 to 2818 of the family's 2925-position model. The record is from RNAcentral.